This is a non-coding RNA of Petromyzon marinus (sea lamprey), 161 nucleotides long. NCBI's taxonomy places the organism in Eukaryota, Metazoa, Chordata, Hyperoartia, Petromyzontiformes, Petromyzontidae. The record is from RefSeq and is a predicted model, not a curated record.
GGGAGACAGAGACACACGGGGAGAUGGAGACCGACAGAAUGGUGGUCGGCGCAACACAAUUCUGAGGGGAAACCUGGUGGAACAGGCGACCACAUUUGCCAAGAAACGAAGAAAUAAAUUUAUUUUAAUUUUAAAAUAAAGAAAUUAUAAAAGGAAAAUAA